This 397-nucleotide long non-coding RNA is filed under the name Homo sapiens (human). RNAcentral's name for it is "non-protein coding lnc-CAPN15-3:1". The record is from RNAcentral. Lineage: Eukaryota; Metazoa; Chordata; Mammalia; Primates; Hominidae.
CAUUAUUAGUCUCCAGUCGAGAAAGGAGAGCCACACAGUAAUUUGAACAGGGACAGUUUAAUACUACAAAGAAUGGGCUGAGUGUGGGCUGAAAUCGCAGUGCUUUGGGAGGCUGAGGUGGGAGGAUCACAUGAGCCGGGGAGGUCGAGGCUGCAGAGGUGGGAGGAUCACAUGAGCCUGGGAGGUCGAGGCUGCAGAGGUGGGAGGAUCACAUGAGCCGGGGAGGUCGAGGCUGCAGAGGUGGGAGGAUCACAUGAGCCGGGGAGGUCGAGGCUGCAGAGGUGGGAGGAUCACAUGAGCCGGGGAGGUCGAGGCUGCAGCGAGCUGUGGUUGCACCACUGCACUUCAGCCUGGGCCACAGAGUCAUACCUUGCCUCUAAGAAAAGAUAAUGCAAAC